UCCCUGGAGGACUAGUGGUUAAGCCACAGCGCUCUCACCGCUGCGGCCUGAGUUCGAGUCCCAGCCAGGGCU
RNAcentral lists this transfer RNA (72 nucleotides) under Pangasius djambal. RNAcentral's name for it is "tRNA-Glu". It matches the Rfam family "tRNA". From Rfam's summary of the family: Transfer RNA (tRNA) molecules are approximately 80 nucleotides in length. Their secondary structure includes four short double-helical elements and three loops (D, anti-codon, and T loops). The record is from RNAcentral. Lineage: Eukaryota; Metazoa; Chordata; Actinopteri; Siluriformes; Pangasiidae.